This 305-nucleotide ribosomal RNA is filed under the name uncultured bacterium. RNAcentral describes it as "bacterial SSU rRNA". It matches the Rfam family "Bacterial small subunit ribosomal RNA", at positions 337 to 639 of the family's 1533-position model. The record is from RNAcentral.
UCCUACGGGAGGCAGCAGUGAGGAAUAUUGGUCAAUGGGCGCGAGCCUGAACCAGCCAAGUCGCGUGAGGGAUGAAGGUUCUAUGGAUCGUAAACCUCUUUUAUAAGGGAAUAAAGUGUGGGACGUGUCCUAUUUUGUAUGUACCUUAUGAAUAAGGAUCGGCUAACUCCGUGCCAGCAGCCGCGGUAAUACGGAGGAUCCGAGCGUUAUCCGGAUUUAUUGGGUUUAAAGGGUGCGUAGGCGGCCUUUUAAGUCAGCGGUGAAAGUCUGUGGCUCAACCAUAGAAUUGCCGUUGAAACUGGGGG